UACUCCAUAGUUCAGUUUGUAGAACGGCGGACUGUUCAUCCGUAUGUCACUGGUUCGAUCCCAGUUGGAGGAGCCA
This 76-nucleotide transfer RNA is filed under the name Arsenophonus endosymbiont of Aphis craccivora. RNAcentral describes it as "tRNA-Asn". It matches the Rfam family "tRNA". Rfam says of the family: Transfer RNA (tRNA) molecules are approximately 80 nucleotides in length. Their secondary structure includes four short double-helical elements and three loops (D, anti-codon, and T loops). Lineage: Bacteria; Pseudomonadati; Pseudomonadota; Gammaproteobacteria; Enterobacterales; Morganellaceae. The record is from RNAcentral.